GUUCCAAUAGAGGAAAAAUGCAAGGGAGAGCAAGGACCAAUGGUGCCAAAGGCUGCUAAGACCACCAUGCCAUGGAUCUGCCUUCCCUUGGCACCAGUGUCUGAUAUUAACCAUCAGAAUAUAGUAAAACAUCCUGUAUUUCAGGGAAAUAACCAGGAAUAUUUAUCAGGAAACUCAGGAAGGGAUUAAUAACUGGUUUGGUAAGCAGAAUUGGUAUCUAGGCCCCAUUUCCAAUUAAUUAUAAGGACUUCUUGCUAAUCAGUACAGUAGAGUUCUAAAUUGUUUCAAAUUGAAGAAGGAUCAUGCAGAAUGCCUGUUUGUGGGAGCAGAUUUUCAGGCUGUGCUUCUGCCUCACCAUCACAGUUACCUCAGAUAUUGCAGGUAAACCAAGGUUUUGGGAAUAAAAACUUAUCUUGCCUUUCUGUGUCACA
Vidua chalybeata is the source of this 431-nucleotide long non-coding RNA. RefSeq lists it as uncharacterized. The transcript is spliced from 3 exons. The record is from RefSeq and is a predicted model, not a curated record. Lineage: Eukaryota; Metazoa; Chordata; Aves; Passeriformes; Viduidae.